UACGUAGGUGGCAAGCGUUAUCCGGAAUUAUUGGGCGUAAAGCGCGCGCAGGCGGUCCUUUAAGUCUGAUGUGAAAGCCCACGGCUCAACCGUGGAGGGUCAUUGGAAACUGGGGGACUUGAGUGCAGAAGAGGAGAGCGGAAUUCCACGUGUAUCGGUGAAAUGCGUAGAGAUGUGGAGGAACACCAGUGGCGAAGGCGGCUCUCUGGGACGGUACUGACGCUGAGACGCGAAAGCGUGGGGAGCGAACAGG
Molecule: ribosomal RNA, 253 nt
Filed under: uncultured bacterium
Lineage: Bacteria
Description: partial 16S ribosomal RNA
Rfam family: Bacterial small subunit ribosomal RNA
Source: RNAcentral